RNAcentral lists this ribosomal RNA (484 nucleotides) under uncultured bacterium. RNAcentral describes it as "partial 16S ribosomal RNA". It matches the Rfam family "Bacterial small subunit ribosomal RNA", at positions 30 to 507 of the family's 1533-position model. The record is from RNAcentral.
AUUGAACGCUGGCGGCAGGCCUAACACAUGCAAGUCGAGCGGAUGAAGGGAGCUUGCUCCUGGAUUCAGCGGCGGACGGGUGAGUAAUGCCUAGGAAUCUGCCUGGUAGUGGGGGAUAACGUCCGGAAACGGGCGCUAAUACCGCAUACGUCCUGAGGGAGAAAGUGGGGGAUCUUCGGACCUCACGCUAUCAGAUGAGCCUAGGUCGGAUUAGCUAGUUGGUGGGGUAAAGGCCUACCAAGGCGACGUUCCGUAACUGGUCUGAGAGGAUGAUCAGUCACACGGGAACUGAGACACGGUCCAGACUCCUACGGGAGGCAGCAGUGGGGAAUAUUGGACAAUGGGCGAAAGCCUGAUCCAGCCAUGCCGCGUGUGUGAAGAAGGUCUUCGGAUUGUAAAGCACUUUAAGUUGGGAGGAAGGGCAGUAAGUUAAUACCUUGCUGUUUUGACGUUACCAACAGAAUAAGCACCGGCUAACUUCGUG